CUCGUGUCGUGAGAUGUUGGGUUAAGUCCCGCAACGAGCGCAACCCUUAUUGUUAGUUGCCAUCAUUUAGUUGGGCACUCUAGCGAGACUGCCGCAGACAAUGCGGAGGAAGGUGGGGAUGACGUCAAAUCAUCAUGCCCCUUAUGACCUGGGCUACACACGUGCUACAAUGGAGAGUACAACGAGUCGCAAAGCCGCGAGGCUAAGCCAAUCUCUUAAAGCUCUUCUCAGUUCGGAUUG
RNAcentral lists this ribosomal RNA (240 nucleotides) under uncultured bacterium. Its description in RNAcentral is "partial 16S ribosomal RNA". It matches the Rfam family "Bacterial small subunit ribosomal RNA", at positions 1059 to 1300 of the family's 1533-position model. The record is from RNAcentral.